RNAcentral lists this ribosomal RNA (301 nucleotides) under uncultured bacterium. RNAcentral describes it as "partial 16S ribosomal RNA". It matches the Rfam family "Bacterial small subunit ribosomal RNA", at positions 509 to 807 of the family's 1533-position model. The record is from RNAcentral.
CAGCCGCCGCGGUAAAACGUAGGGUGCAAGCGUUAAUCGGAAUUACUGGGCGUAAAGCGUGCGCAGGCGGUUUGUUAAGACAGAUGUGAAAUCCCCGGGCUCAACCUGGGAACUGCGCUUGUGACUGCACAGCUAGAGUAUGGCAGAGGGGGGUGGAAUUCCACGUGUAGCAGUGAAAUGCGUAGAGAUGUGGAGGAACACCGAUGGCGAAGGCAGCCCCCUGGGCCAAUACUGACGCUCAUGCACGAAAGCGUGGGGAGCAAACAGGAUUAGAUACCCGAGUAGUCCCUGUCUCUUAUAC